GAAUAUUGCUCAAUGGGCGAAAGCCUGAUGCGGCAACGCCGCGUGAGUGAAGAAGGCCUUCGGGUUGUAAAGCUCUGUCUUUUGGGACGAUAAUGACGGUACCAAAGGAGGAAGCCACGGCUAACUACGUGCCAGCAGCCGCGGUAAUACGUAGGUGGCAAGCGUUGUCCGGAUUUACUGGGCGUAAAGGAUGCGUAGGUGGAUAUUUAAGUGGGAUGUGAAAUACCCGGGCUCAACUUGGGUGCUGCAUUCCAAACUGGAUAUCUAGAGUGCAGGAGAGGAAAGUGGAAUUCCUAGUGUAGCAGUGAAAUGCGUAGAUAUUAGGAGGAACACCAGUGGCGAAGGCGGCUUUCUGGACUGUAACUGACACUGAGGCAUGAAAGCGUGGGGAGCAAACAG
RNAcentral lists this ribosomal RNA (399 nucleotides) under uncultured bacterium. RNAcentral describes it as "bacterial SSU rRNA". It matches the Rfam family "Bacterial small subunit ribosomal RNA", at positions 359 to 775 of the family's 1533-position model. The record is from RNAcentral.